AUUGAACGCUGGCGGCAGGCUUAACACAUGCAAGUCGAGCGGGGUGAUGGUGCUUGCACUAUCACUUAGCGGCGGACGGGUGAGUAAUGCUUAGGAAUCUGCCUAUUAGUGGGGGACAACAUCUCGAAAGGGAUGCUAAUACCGCAUACGUCCUACGGGAGAAAGCAGGGGAUCACUUGUGACCUUGCGCUAAUAGAUGAGCCUAAGUCGGAUUAGCUGGUUGGUGGGGUAAAGGCCUACCAAGGCGACGAUCUGUAGCGGGUCUGAGAGGAUGAGCCGCCACACUGGGACUGGGACACGGCCCAGACUCCUACGGGAGGCAGCAGUGGGGAAUAUUGGACAAUGGGGGGAACCCUGAUCCAGCCAUGCCGCGUGUGUGAAGAAGGCCUUAUGGUUGUAAAGCACUUUAAGCGAGGAGGAGGCUACUUUAGUUAAUACCUAGAGAUAGUGGACGUUACUCGCAGAAUAAGCACCGGCUAACUCUGUGCCAGCCGCCGCCGUAA
This 503-nucleotide ribosomal RNA is filed under the name uncultured bacterium. RNAcentral describes it as "partial 16S ribosomal RNA". It matches the Rfam family "Bacterial small subunit ribosomal RNA", at positions 30 to 523 of the family's 1533-position model. The record is from RNAcentral.